Mauremys reevesii (Reeves's turtle) is the source of this 1038-nucleotide long non-coding RNA. RefSeq lists it as uncharacterized. Lineage: Eukaryota; Metazoa; Chordata; Testudines; Geoemydidae. The record is from RefSeq and is a predicted model, not a curated record. The transcript has 3 exons.
GCUGUAGGGAGGCAGAGGCGCUGGGGAGCCCCAGGCUGUAGCCUAGCACAAGACCAAGGGAUACUGGGGGUUGCAGAGGGCAGCCCAGGGGUAGGCUAAGGCAGCAGGUCCAAAUCCUCCUUGCCAGUGAUAAGUGGCUGAUACUGCAGUCUGCCCCACGGAAUGGGGGCUAGAUGGAGACUGAGUAGUAGCCAAAAGUGGGUUGCAGGUUCCCCAGUGAGUGGUGACCCAGAUUGGUGGGGUACUGCCAGGGGGCAGCACCCCGGUUAAAAGGGCACCAGGGUCUAGGGAGGGACAUGGGGCCCAAGAGGACAGGUGGAUCACUGGCCUGCAGAGGGCACUUCGGGAGGCUGGAAAAAGCGCUAAUUCCCAGAAAGCACUAGCAGGAGGCACCGCAGGGUAAAUCUCUAUUCCUUUAUGACUGCAGACUAAACCCUGAGAACCUGAAACAGGGGUAAACAGUAGAAUGCUGCACAGAGACGACAUCAGCAACUCGGAGACCUGAACUUCCCCAUUAAUCUCAGAGUGUUCUUUUAGAUGCUCGGUGAUGACAAUAUAAAUGGCAACAUCUUCAUUAACUAUUUCCAGGAUACCAGAUUAUGUGAGAAAGGUGAAGAAGGAUCACAGAUUUGCAGUCUACUGCUGUCUGUGAUGAAGAGCUUUUCCCUUCUCUCCCCUGGAGAGGUCUGGCGAGAGAUGAUGAUCUCCCUGGAUUUGGUGGUGGUGUUCUUCACAGAAGCACAGAAAUGGCAUUGUGCCAAACCCCACUGGAUUCCAACCUGAAAAAAGUUUGGUUCAGAAUCUACAUUCAAUAUAUUCUAAAUUCUGCACAAAGUGUUCCUGUCAAAAUUCAUUGCUGAUAACUCCUGUGAACAAAGUUUUGACAUCAGAAGUGUGUAAUAUAGGCGUCAAUCUUUUUACGUAUUCAUCACACAACUUAAAAUAGAAAGAAAAGUAAAAACAAAAAUACUUGAUGUUACUGCAACACUAUGGUUAAAAAUUUAAAUAUACAAAGGGCAGGAUAUUUAAAGUCGUUUC